UAAAACGACCUUACUUCCUUGAGCCUGAUCUCGUCCAUUCUCAGAAAGUAAGCAUGGGUGGGCCUGGGCAGCACUGUGAUGGGAGACCCCCGAGGAAAAUAAGGUUGCAAUUUGU
This 115-nucleotide ribosomal RNA is filed under the name Lepisosteus oculatus (spotted gar). Lineage: Eukaryota; Metazoa; Chordata; Actinopteri; Semionotiformes; Lepisosteidae. The record is from RNAcentral.